Salmo salar (Atlantic salmon) is the source of this 72-nucleotide non-coding RNA. Lineage: Eukaryota; Metazoa; Chordata; Actinopteri; Salmoniformes; Salmonidae. The record is from Rfam.
UCCCAUGUGGCUCAGUUGGUAGAGCAUGGUGUUUGCAACGCCAGGGUUGUGGGUUCAAUUCCCACGGGGGAC